ACGUGAGGCUCUUGUGUUUUUGCUAUUGGCCAUUUUUGUUCGUGAUUUAGCUUGGUCGGCUGAUUCUCUAUGUAAAGCUUGGUUUACCACAAUGUAAUAUUUCUGCAAGCUAU
Priapulus caudatus is the source of this 113-nucleotide long non-coding RNA. RefSeq lists it as uncharacterized. The record is from RefSeq and is a predicted model, not a curated record. The transcript has 3 exons. Lineage: Eukaryota; Metazoa; Priapulida; Priapulimorpha; Priapulimorphida; Priapulidae.